AGGAUGAACGCUGGCGGCGUGCCUAACACAUGCAAGUCGAACGUCCUGUCUCGCAAGAGGCAGGGAGUGGCGGACGGGUGAGUACCACGUGGGUCAUCUACCGUGAGGUGAGGAAUACCGGCGAGAAAUCGCCGACAAGACCGCAUAGGCUCGAUGCAAGUCGAGCAAAGCUCUUUCGAGAGAGGGAGCGCCACACGAGGAGCCUGCGCCCGAUUAGCUAGCUGGUGGAGUAACGGUUCACCAGGGCGACGAUCGGUAGCUGGUCUGAGAGGACGAUCAGCCACACUGGGAUUGAGAACGGCCCAGACUCCUACGGGGGGCAGCAGUGAGGAAUUUCGUCAAUGGGGGCAACCCUGAACGAGCAACGCCGCGUGCAGGAAGAAGGUUUUCGAUCGUAAACUGCUUUUCUCGGGGAAGAGAACGGACGGUACCCGAGGAAUCAGCCCCGGCUAACUACGUGCCAGCAGCCGCGGU
RNAcentral lists this ribosomal RNA (474 nucleotides) under uncultured bacterium. Its description in RNAcentral is "SSU rRNA". It matches the Rfam family "Bacterial small subunit ribosomal RNA", at positions 26 to 521 of the family's 1533-position model. The record is from RNAcentral.